UUUUUUUGCUUUGUUUCUGCUUUUGUAUUUUAAUCUCGUGCUUUUGAUUUCUCCACAGCAAAAUGCCCCUCAUAUCUCCCAAAUCCCUGAAAGGUUUCAAUUGCAAGCCGAAAUACCCAGCUGAGUGUGCUCCGACUCAAUUCUCUAUUUUUUUUCCUCUCUAAAAGUCAUCAAAACCACUGCAUCUCCUCUCACUCUUCUGAGGGUUUUUUAAAAAGUGUUUUGUAAAGUAGGUUCUUCAUUAAUCUGUUUGUCUUAAGCUGCUUAAAAAUACUCAUUGGCUGUAUCGGGAGCCAAGCUUAAAAAAAAAACCGUUCAGGAUUUGUGGAGGAUUGAGUUGAAUUUCUCAGCUGUCUGGAACUGGCAUUAGUGCUCAGCAUCCUAAGAAGGGUGAUAUUCCUGCUUUCCUGGUACUCACCAGCCCAAUUUUGGGUUCAUGGAGCAAAGUCACGUGCUUUUGGGUUUUUUUUCCAUUUUGUGAUUUUACUGCCUUCUGCUGGUCAAAGAUGAUCAGGCUGGGCUUAAAUUUUUUAUAAUCAGCACAUGAUCUAACAUUUAGCUGCAGUGCAAAUGCCAACAAUAGAUGCUUUGUGUAUUUCUUGGUGUUUUUGGGGGUUUUUUUUCUGCAGGCUCAUGGAUAUAUUUCACUUUACAAUCAGUAAAGAGGAUUGUAGGUUUUAAUGUGCAGGCUACAUCUUGUUUCAGAAGUCUGCUGUUGGCUUGAAGUGGGGAUGUAGCAGAUCACCUUUCUAAUCCUUCCCUGCCUCUCAGUUCCCUGCUUGCCCUUUGCUCCCAGGAUAAAGAAAAAAAGAUUUAAAAAUAAAAACCCUGUUUGCAUAAACUCAUAAAACUGUGACCCCACGACAGUGCACAAAGAAAGAGGCCUGCUGCCUCCAGAAUUUCAUGAUCUGUUUUAGGAAUUAUAGUUGUUUAAAGUUUUAUCUUUGCUUUUAUUCCCUGAGACAGAGAUGGAUGUUCUUGUCUGUCUGUGUAGGGGCUGGAAGGUGGAGAGCUGAGGAGCUGACAGGGCUUGGAUCUGCCUAAAUGUACAAGGAAUUAUCCAGCUGAUCAAAGGAAAUGGCUCUUCCCCUUCCUGCACCUUCCUGCUCUCAAAUUUAAUAACCAUGCCCUGAAUUGAUAGGCCACAAAAGGUACCACCUGGAUAUACACUAUAAAUCCCCUGGGCAGGCAGGCUGUGAGAAGGAAGACAUUUAUUUUCUGUUUUUUGGUUUUUUUUCCCACAAAAAACCAAAGCUUUGAUUGCCAAAUAAUCACUCAGGCAACCAUAAAUAAUUGUCUGUAAAAGAGUUUUCUUCCCAUCUACCAAUUCCUAUUUCUUGCAGAGGGAGUGGGAGGGAACUGAGUUCAACAAACUCAAAACAAAUGUCACAGAGUUUACACUUUCAGCAUUUUAAUGGCAUAAAACCAUCUCUGAGCUCCAUGUGAAUGUCAUAAGAUUUUGAAAAUCUGUGUUCCUGCAAAAUAUCAUUUGUCUCUUCUUUAUUUUUUAAUAGGUAAGCAAGGUGGGUAACACCAAGUGGCAAUGGCAAGAUUAAAAAUUAGAGGAGAUACUCUGAUUUAUGGAGAUACACAACAUUUAUCCUCUAAACACAGCAGAAUGGUAAGAGAACACUGGGCAGUGGGGAAUGAAGCUUCUGCUCCUGUUCCUGCCACUGUUCCACCAUCAGUAAUCUGCAAUAUAUUUAGAAAAGCUCAUUAAACAUUUGGGCAAAUGUGCUUUCCCAAAUAUUGUUGCCUGAGGAGAGCAGGCCUUGGGUCAAGUAGCUGGAGAGAAGGGAAUUCUCCUCGUUUAUUUUUAGUUUCAUUUCCUAGGGAAGUAAGCCAUCUGUGGUCUGUUUCCCUCUGGAAAGUUUUGAAACUUCUCUGCCAUUCAAGUUUGCAGAGCCUGAGAGUUGUUAAAUAAUUCCAGUUUUUGUGGGAGUAGCUGCUCAGGUAAAAAGAGACUCUGGAACAGGAAAAGGGGAAAGCAUGGGAAUUCAGACUGUGUGAAUUUGUGCAUCCUUUCAAGCAGCAGUGAGGGUGAAAGGGGCAACAGGAGCUGGAUUGCUCUGAUGUGGUUCUCCCCCAAAUUAGCCAGCAAACUUCUGCUGGUACCACUCAGUCCCUCCAAAUCCAGAUUUCCUUUCUCGGUCCCAGGGUUAGGGUAAGGAAGAGGAGAUUCAGCAGGGUACUUGGAAGAGUCUCUGCCCAGGCUACCCUUAAUGUAAGAUCCUCGUUAGGCAAGAGGAAAUAAAAUAUAUUAAUGCCAUUUAUAGGGUGCUGAACUGGGAAAGGUUGAGAGCUGGGCUCGGGGUAGAAACAUAAACUACAAAAAUGGUAAACAUGAGCAAGAAUUAAUGGAAGCUCUGUUGGGAAGGCUUUGAGUCCUUAUCGGGAAGAUUUAAUUUCUUGAACCCACCUUUUGAAGUGAAGAAAUCUUAAAAUAAAUGUGCCAGGAGACAGUGAAGCAGAAGUGAAGUUGCCAUCAAACACCAGCAUGUGAAGAAGGCUCUGGAAAGCCUGGUACAGUUCAGUGGGUCCAUAAAUGAAAUAACAGGGAUGUCAGGGAUGUAGUGAAGGCUGCAGGAAUUUGGAGAGUCCUCCCUCCUUACAUCUCCUGGUUUCUCAUUGAUCCAGCAGAAUUUGGGUACUGGGCAGCCUGAGGACAGCAGCACGUUCUCUCUUGCCAGAGCUGUCCAGAGGAGAUGGUGUUUGUGCAGUUUGUGCCACGCUGAUGUGCAGCUCUUUAUAUUUAAAGAUUUGCCAAGAGAGGCAGAGAUUUAUUUGGCCCUUCCCGGGUGCUGCCAGGAGGUGGCUCCCUGAAUUUGCAAUCCCUAUUUACAGCUUUGUUUAUGGAAUUACUCUGGACGCGUUUUCCGUGGAAAAUGUUUUCCCUGCCUCUGCCCUGAGGAAGUUUACGUCAGAAGAACAAGGAAGCCCUGGGCUCAGGAAAUAAUCUGCUAACAGGCAAGCCAAGGAUCAGUUCACUUGUCCAAAUGUUUUCUGGCUGGGAUCCAAAGGGAUUUUUCCUGUGCAUGACCUAAUCUUGUAAGAUUAUUUCUAUCAGGCUGAAGGAGUUACAUCUGUGUUGGUAGGGUGCACUUACCAAAUUUGAUUAUAGCCCAGUAAAAGUCAUUCUCAAUUAUAAAAAAAAUCAUUUUAGUCACAUGCUUUGAAGGAUGCUGGUGGUUCAUGGACAGGUAUCCUGGUGAAUUGCUUAAAAUGCUGCUUCAUUCUCCCCCUUUCAGUGUGAGAGUGGAUCAGGGUCCUGUGUCUGGACUCCUUUUGGAGGCAGGGAUGUUCCCAAAGGCUGAUGUGUUCUUCUGUUGGAAUCCAGUGUGGAAUGAGCCAGGUUCCUUCUGUGCUUCCUAAAACACGGUGAAGAAUUACAGUGUGUUAAAGAAGAGUAACUAUUCAGUAUCCUCACAAUGCUGAGGUCCAUUUUAUAUCCAGAUGGGAUGGCUGGAGCUCCUCUGACCCAGCUCUCAGCUACAG
Molecule: non-coding RNA, 3495 nt
Organism: Taeniopygia guttata (zebra finch)
Lineage: Eukaryota; Metazoa; Chordata; Aves; Passeriformes; Estrildidae
Source: RefSeq, a predicted model, not a curated record